This 251-nucleotide unclassified non-coding RNA is filed under the name plant metagenome. RNAcentral describes it as "partial contains small subunit ribosomal RNA, internal transcribed spacer 1, and 5.8S ribosomal RNA". The stretch from base 1 to 54 matches the Rfam family "Eukaryotic small subunit ribosomal RNA", at positions 1778 to 1831 of the family's 1831-position model. The record is from RNAcentral.
AGAAGUAAAAGUCGUAACAAGGUCUCCGUAGGUGAACCUGCGGAGGGAUCAUUACAGAGUUCAUGCCCUACCGGGUAGAUCUCCCACCCUAUGUUAUUAUUACUUCGUUGCUUUGGCGGGCCGUUAGGCUCCGGCCCGACUACCGGCCCCGGCUGGUAAGCGCCCGCCAGAGGACCCAAAACCCUGAAUAUUAGUGUCGUCUGAGUACUAUAUAAUAGUUAAAACUUUCAACAACGGAUCUCUUGGUUCUG